GAUGAACGCUGGCGGCGCGCCUAACACAUGCAAGUCGAACGAUUAAGGCACCUUCGGGUGUGUAUAAAGUGGCGAACGGCUGAGUAACACGUGGGCAACCUGCCCCUCUCAUUGGGAUAGCCACGGGAAACCGUGGAUAAUACCGAAUACUUCGGGACUUCCGCAUGGAAGACUCGAGAAAGCUCCGGCGGAGAGGGAUGGGCCCGCGGCCUGUUAGCUUGUUGGUGGGGUAAUGGCCUACCAAGGCAAUGAUGGGUAGCUGGGUUGAGAGACCGACCAGCCAGAUUGGGACUGAGACACGGCCCAGACUCCUACGGGAGGCAGCAGUGGGGAAUCUUGCACAAUGGGCGAAAGCCUGAUGCAGCGACGCCGCGUGCGGGAUGAAGGCCUUCGGGUUGUAAACCGCUUUCAGCAGGGACGAGGCGAAAGUGACGGUACCUGCAGAAGAAGCCCCGGCUAACUACGUG
Molecule: ribosomal RNA, 467 nt
Filed under: uncultured bacterium
Lineage: Bacteria
Description: partial 16S ribosomal RNA
Rfam family: Bacterial small subunit ribosomal RNA
Source: RNAcentral